This 519-nucleotide ribosomal RNA is filed under the name uncultured Klebsiella sp. Its description in RNAcentral is "bacterial SSU rRNA". It matches the Rfam family "Bacterial small subunit ribosomal RNA", at positions 8 to 518 of the family's 1533-position model. The record is from RNAcentral. Lineage: Bacteria; Pseudomonadati; Pseudomonadota; Gammaproteobacteria; Enterobacterales; Enterobacteriaceae.
AGAGUUUGAUCCUGGCUCAGAUUGAACGCUGGCGGCAGGCCUAACACAUGCAAGUCGAGCGGUAGCACAGAGAGCUUGCUCUCGGGUGACGAGCGGCGGACGGGUGAGUAACGUCUGGGAAACUGCCUGAUGGAGGGGGAUAACUACUGGAAACGGUAGCUAAUACCGCAUAACGUCGCAAGACCAAAGUGGGGGACCUUCGGGCCUCAUGCCAUCAGAUGUGCCCAGAUGGGAUUAGCUAGUAGGUGGGGUAAUGGCUCACCUAGGCGACGAUCCCUAGCUGGUCUGAGAGGAUGACCAGCCACACUGGAACUGAGACACGGUCCAGACUCCUACGGGAGGCAGCAGUGGGGAAUAUUGCACAAUGGGCGCAAGCCUGAUGCAGCCAUGCCGCGUGUGUGAAGAAGGCCUUCGGGUUGUAAAGCACUUUCAGCGGGGAGGAAGGCGUUAAGGUUAAUAACCUUGGCGAUUGACGUUACCCGCAGAAGAAGCACCGGCUAACUCCGUGCCAGCAGCCGC